GUCGAGAAUUUUUCUCAAUGGGGGAAACCCUGAAGGAGCGACGCCGCGUGGAGGAUGAAGGUCUUCGGAUUGUAAACUCCUGUCAUUUGGGAACAAUUGUCACCGAUUAACUGUCGGGGGCUUGAUAGUACCAGAAGAGGAAGAGACGGCUAACUCUGUGCCAGCAGCCGCGGUAAUACAGAGGUCUCAAGCGUUGUUCGGAUUCAUUGGGCGUAAAGGGUGCGUAGGUGGCGGGGUAAGUCUGGUGUGAAAUCUCGGGGCUCAACCCCGAAACUGCACUGGAUACUGCCUUGCUCGAGUACUGGAGAGGAGAUUGGAAUUUACGGUGUAGCAGUGAAAUGCGUAGAUAUCGUAAGGAAGACCAGUGGCGAAGGCGAAUCUCUGGACAGUUACUGACACUGAGGCACGAAGGCCAGGGGAGCAAACGGGAUUAGAUACCCUGGUAGUCC
RNAcentral lists this ribosomal RNA (449 nucleotides) under uncultured bacterium. RNAcentral describes it as "bacterial SSU rRNA". It matches the Rfam family "Bacterial small subunit ribosomal RNA", at positions 354 to 796 of the family's 1533-position model. The record is from RNAcentral.